RNAcentral lists this long non-coding RNA (244 nucleotides) under Capsicum annuum. RNAcentral describes it as "long non-coding RNA (CANN_LNC020842)". Lineage: Eukaryota; Viridiplantae; Streptophyta; Magnoliopsida; Solanales; Solanaceae. The record is from RNAcentral.
AUAUGUUGCAGUUAGAAAAAACACCUCCACCAUUUUUGACCUCUAUGGUCUCAUCUUGUAUUUCACUAUCCUUAUUGACAUCAGAUACAUUCCCAUUAUCAAAAGUAAUGCUCUGAGCCUGACUACGCUGUCUAGUAUUAUCUUCAAGCUUCCUAACUGUGCCAAACAAAGACUCUAUAAGUAGAUCAAGAGACGAGGGGUUUGAUAGUUCUUGGUUCAUAUUAUCCGUCUCCAUAUGCUUACU